UCCAGGUCUGUUCAUCUUCAUCUUCCACUGCGCCCUGAAAGAAAACGUGCAGAAGCAGUGGAGGAGAUACAUGUGCUGCGGUCGAUUCAAGCUGUCGGACAACUCAGACUGGAGUAAGACGGCCACCAACAACACCAAGAAGGUGAGCUCAGAAAACCUGGGCAUGUCUCUGUCGUCCAGCUCGUUCGGCUCCAGCACCGCUAACUGGACGUCCAAAGCUAAAGCUACGCUCAACCCGUUCACCAAGCGACACAGUAACACAGAAACCUCUUCCAGCCAAUAGCAGGAGAGGAGGACUGACAGGUAA
Molecule: non-coding RNA, 307 nt
Organism: Paralichthys olivaceus (Japanese flounder)
Lineage: Eukaryota; Metazoa; Chordata; Actinopteri; Pleuronectiformes; Paralichthyidae
Source: RefSeq, a predicted model, not a curated record